Molecule: long non-coding RNA, 322 nt
Organism: Archocentrus centrarchus (flier cichlid)
Lineage: Eukaryota; Metazoa; Chordata; Actinopteri; Cichliformes; Cichlidae
Exons: 3
Source: RefSeq, a predicted model, not a curated record
GGGACUGUUGUCGAAAGGUAAUAUGGAUCAAGGUAAAAGACCAAAGAAGCCAUCAGGUGCACAGUUUAGAAAAAGAAGAAGAGGAGAAACGGGCAAAGGAUAAAGGGGCAUUUCUGAAAUAUUUUGGAGCUGGAGCACCCACUGUCCAAAAUGAGGAGUCAGAUACUUCCACAGCAGCCACAGACAUGGUCCUGGAGCCAUCUACUGUCUCAGCCUCAUGUUCCUUGCAGGACUCCUCAGAAAUGCCUCAACCUGAAAUACCACCAAAUCCUGUCCCUGAGGAUGAGCUUCUAUCUACCGACCAGGGUUAUAAUAGUUUUGG